AGACGGAGGGGGCUAGCGUUGUUCGGAAUUACUGGGCGUAAAGCGCGCGUAGGCGGAUUGAUCAGUCAGAGGAGAAAUCCCAGGGCUCAACCCUGGAACUGCCUUUGAUACUGUCAGUCUUGAGUUCGAGAGAGGUGAGUGGAAUUCCGAGGGUAGAGGUGAAAUUCGUAGAUAUUCGGAGGAACACCAGUGGCGAAGGCGGCUCACUGGCUCGAUACUGACGCUGAGGUGCGAAAGCGUGGGGAGCAAACAGGAUUAGAUACCCCAGUAGUCC
RNAcentral lists this ribosomal RNA (274 nucleotides) under uncultured bacterium. RNAcentral's name for it is "partial 16S ribosomal RNA". It matches the Rfam family "Bacterial small subunit ribosomal RNA", at positions 523 to 796 of the family's 1533-position model. The record is from RNAcentral.